This 338-nucleotide unclassified non-coding RNA is filed under the name soil metagenome. Its description in RNAcentral is "partial contains 5.8S ribosomal RNA, internal transcribed spacer 2, and large subunit ribosomal RNA". The stretch from base 1 to 120 matches the Rfam family "5.8S ribosomal RNA", at positions 35 to 154 of the family's 154-position model. The record is from RNAcentral.
GAUGAAGAACGUAGCGAAAUGCGAUAAGUAAUGUGAAUUGCAGAAUUCAGUGAAUCAUCGAAUCUUUGAACGCACAUUGCGCCCGCCAGUAUUCUGGCGGGCAUGCCUGUCUGAGCGUCAUUUCAACCCCCAAGCAACUUCUGCUUGGUGUUGGGGAUCGGCCGUCAAACGCCGCCCCCGAAAUCUAUAGGCGAUCUCGCUGUAGCUUCCUAUGCGUAGUAGUAACAUCUCGCAUCUGGAGAGCGGCGCGGUCAUGCCGUAAAACACCCAACUUCUCAGGUUGACCUCAGAUCAGGUAGGAAUACCCGCUGAACUUAAGCAUAUCAAUAAGCGGAGGA